GCCAUCAUCAUCGGACCGCUGACCCAUCUUCAGGAGAGAGAUUUGUAUCAUCCUUGUCAGUCCGUCCAUCUGUUGACGCCACCACGGCGCCCAACUGCGCCACCGCCCCGUGCUCGUCAGUCCAGACGCGAAGAUUAUGGAAGAUCUUUCGUGCGUAGUACCUGCCGACCAGGCAUGACACAACUUAGCACCUGUCGCCCAGGCAUGACUUGACAGCUCCACCGAAAGCUCCGUGCAAGAUGAAGCCGCUCCACCACCAGCCUCUGUCUUCCAGCUCUGCUCCACACACAAUGCUCCCAAGAAAGAAAACGACGUCGCAGUACCG
RNAcentral lists this long non-coding RNA (325 nucleotides) under Hordeum vulgare. Its description in RNAcentral is "long non-coding RNA (HVUL_LNC016876)". Lineage: Eukaryota; Viridiplantae; Streptophyta; Magnoliopsida; Poales; Poaceae. The record is from RNAcentral.